UGUGUUUGGUGAACUAAUAUCUCAACCCCUUACCCUCAUAUUCACCUGUAGAUUCAUCAGCCCUCUAAAACGCAGCAGAACAGAUAUCAGAUCUUGGGCAGCAAGACAAGAGGAAUCUUGAACUUUCUGCUUCAAUCAGUGCAAAAAUCCUGGAACCAGGAGUAGAAUUGGUGAGAUUUGCUUGGAAUGCUUCUUGGUGACAGACUAAGCAGUCCAUGGUCUCAAGAUCAGAAAGCUGCUUCGUGAUAUUUCAAAG
RNAcentral lists this long non-coding RNA (256 nucleotides) under Anas platyrhynchos platyrhynchos (common mallard). RNAcentral's name for it is "lncRNA (ENSAPLG00000024134.1)". Lineage: Eukaryota; Metazoa; Chordata; Aves; Anseriformes; Anatidae. The record is from RNAcentral.